RNAcentral lists this ribosomal RNA (269 nucleotides) under uncultured prokaryote. RNAcentral describes it as "partial 16S ribosomal RNA". It matches the Rfam family "Bacterial small subunit ribosomal RNA", at positions 524 to 792 of the family's 1533-position model. The record is from RNAcentral.
UACGUAGGGGGCGAACGUUGCUCGGAAUUACUGGGCGUAAAGGGUGCGUAGGUGGCUGAGCAAGUCAAAGAUGAAAUCCCGGGGCUCAACCCCGGAACUGUCUUUGAAACUGCUCAGCUUGAGGAUAGUUGAGGAGAACGGAAUUCCCGGUGGAGCGGUGAAAUGCGUAGAUAUCGGGAGGAACACCAGAGGCGAAGGCGGUUCUCUGGACUAUUCCUGACACUGAGGCACGAAAGCUAGGGGAGCAAACGGGAUUAGAUACCCGCGUA